This 497-nucleotide ribosomal RNA is filed under the name uncultured bacterium. Its description in RNAcentral is "partial 16S ribosomal RNA". It matches the Rfam family "Bacterial small subunit ribosomal RNA", at positions 28 to 507 of the family's 1533-position model. The record is from RNAcentral.
GACGAACGCUGGCGGCGUGCCUAAUACAUGCAAGUUGAGCGAUGAAGAUUGGUGCUUGCACCAAUUUGAAGAGCAGCGAACGGGUGAGUAACGCGUGGGGAAUCUGCCUUUGAGCGGGGGACAACAUUUGGAAACGAAUGCUAAUACCGCAUAACAACUUUAAACAUAAGUUUUAAGUUUGAAAGAUGCAAUUGCAUCACUCAAAGAUGAUCCCGCGUUGUAUUAGCUAGUUGGUGAGGUAAAGGCUCACCAAGGCGAUGAUACAUAGCCAACCUGAGAGGGGGAGCGGCCACGUUGGGACUGAGACACGGCCCAAACCCCUACGGGAGGCAGCAGUAGGGAAUCUUCGGAAAGAGACGAAAGUCUGACCGAGCAACGCCGCGGGAGUGAAGAAGGGUUUCGGAUCGUAAAACUCGGUUGGUAGAGAAGAACGUUGGUGAGAGUGGAAAGCUCAUCAAGUGACGGUAACUACCCAGAAAGGGACGGCUAACUACGUG